Molecule: ribosomal RNA, 253 nt
Filed under: uncultured bacterium
Lineage: Bacteria
Description: partial 16S ribosomal RNA
Rfam family: Bacterial small subunit ribosomal RNA
Source: RNAcentral
UACGAAGGGGGCUAGCGUUGUUCGGAAUCACUGGGCGUAAAGGGUGCGUAGGCGGUUUUUUAAGUCAGGGGUGAAAUCCUGGAGCUCAACUCCAGAACUGCCUUUGAUACUGAAGAUCUUGAGUUCGGGAGAGGUGAGUGGAACUGCGAGUGUAGAGGUGAAAUUCGUAGAUAUUCGCAAGAACACCAGUGGCGAAGGCGACUCACUGGCCCGAUACUGACGCUGAGGCACGAAAGCGUGGGGAGCAAACAGG